ACUGAGUGGCGGACGGGUGAGUAACGCGUGGGCAACCUGCCCCAUACAGGGGGAUAACAGCCGGAAACGGCUGCUAAAACCGCAUAAGCGCACAAGGGCCGCAUGGCCUGGUGUGAAAAACUCCGGUGGUAUGGGAUGGGCCCGCGUCUGAUUAGCUAGUUGGCGGGGGAGAGGCCCACCAAGGCGACGAUCAGUAGCCGACCUGAGAGGGUGGCCGGCCACAUUGGGACUGAGACACGGCCCAAACUCCUACGGGAGGCAGCAG
RNAcentral lists this ribosomal RNA (265 nucleotides) under uncultured bacterium. Its description in RNAcentral is "partial 16S ribosomal RNA". It matches the Rfam family "Bacterial small subunit ribosomal RNA", at positions 90 to 354 of the family's 1533-position model. The record is from RNAcentral.